This 477-nucleotide ribosomal RNA is filed under the name uncultured soil bacterium. RNAcentral describes it as "bacterial SSU rRNA". It matches the Rfam family "Bacterial small subunit ribosomal RNA", at positions 26 to 492 of the family's 1533-position model. The record is from RNAcentral.
AGAUUGAACGCUGGCGGCAUGCUUUACACAUGCAAGUCGAACGGCAGCACGGGGGCAACCCUGGUGGCGAGUGGCGAACGGGUGAGUAAUAUAUCGGAACGUACCCGGAAAUGGGGGAUAACGUAGCGAAAGUUACGCUAAUACCGCAUAUGCCCUGAGGGGGAAAGCGGGGGAUUCGUAAGAGCCUCGCGUUUUCGGAGCGGCCGAUAUCGGAUUAGCUAGUAGGUGAGGUAAAGGCUCACCUAGGCGACGAUCCGUAGCUGGUCUGAGAGGACGACCAGCCACACUGGAACUGAGACACGGUCCAGACUCCUACGGGAGCAGCAGUGGGAAUUUGGACAAUGGGCGCAAGCCUGAUCCAGCCAUGCCGCGUGAGUGAAGAAGGCCUUCGGGUUAGUAAGCGUACUUUCGAGUCCGGAAAGAAACGACGACGGUUAAUACCCGUGUACGUGGAGUGAACGGUACCGGAAGUAAGAA